Molecule: ribosomal RNA, 1111 nt
Filed under: uncultured bacterium
Lineage: Bacteria
Description: bacterial SSU rRNA
Rfam family: Bacterial small subunit ribosomal RNA
Source: RNAcentral
AGUGGGGGAUAUUGCACAAUGGGGGAAACCCUGAUGCAGCGAUGCCGCGUGAAUGAUGAAGGCUUUCGAGUCGUAAAGUUCUGUUCUUAGGGAAGAUAAUGACGGUACCUAAGAAGAAAGUCCCGGCUAAAUACGUGCCAGCAGCCGCGGUAAUACGUAUGGGACAAGCGUUAUCCGGAAUUAUUGGGCGUAAAGAGUUCGUAGGCGGUUCUUUAAGUCAGAAGUGAAAGGCAGUGGCUCAACCAUUGUAAGCUUUUGAAACUGGGGAACUUGAGUGUUGGAGAGGAAAGCGGAAUUCCUAGUGUAGCGGUGAAAUGCGUAGAUAUUAGGAGGAACACCAGUGGCGAAGGCGGCUUUCUGGACAAAUACUGACGCUGAGGAACGAAAGCGUGGGGAGCAAACAGGAUUAGAUACCCUGGUAGUCCACGCCGUAAACGAUGAGUGCUAGGUGUUGGGGUAGCGAUACCUCAGUGCCGCAGCUAACGCAUUAAGCACUCCGCCUGGGGAGUACGGUCGCAAGACUGAAACUCAAAGGAAUUGACGGGGGCCCGCACAAGUAGCGGAGCAUGUGGUUUAAUUCGAAGCGACGCGAAGAACCUUACCAGGUCUUGACAUCCCGGUGCCCGGUCUAGAGAUAGAUCUUUCUCUUCGGAGACACCGGUGACAGGUGGUGCAUGGUUGUCGUCAGCUCGUGUCGUGAGAUGUUGGGUUAAGUCCCGCAACGAGCGCAACCCUUAUCUUUAGUUGCCAGCAUUUAGUUGGGCACUCUAGAGAGACUGCCGGUGAUAAACCGGAGGAAGGUGGGGAUGACGUCAAAUCAUCAUGCCCCUUAUGACCUGGGCUACACACGUGCUACAAUGGUCGGUACAGAAGGCAGCGAAGGAGCGAUCCGGAGCGAAUCUCAAAAGCCGAUCUCAGUUCGGAUUGCAGGCUGCAACUCGCCUGCAUGAAGCUGGAGUUACUAGUAAUCGCGAAUCAGAAUGUCGCGGUGAAUGCGUUCCCGGGCCUUGUACACACCGCCCGUCACACCACGGGAGUUGGUAAUACCCGAAGUCGCUGAGCUAACCCUUUUGGGAGGCAGGCGCCGAAGGUAGGAUUGAUGACUGGGGUG